GGUUGAGCAGCUGGCCUGCCCCAGAGAAGAGUUUCGAGCAGGAGAGUGAAGAGAGGAGCCAGGAAGGUGACCAGAGUGACCAGAACUGCCAGCCAGCACAAUGUGCCAGCUACAGAGUUGAGGAGAUGCUCGAAAGAUAUUUGUUGGAUGGAUGGAUGAAUGGUCCAGUCACAGCAGUAUCCCUGGGGCAUAUUCGUGAGGUGUCAAAGACAGAUGUAAAGCUCUUUGAGGAAGAACCACCCUGUGUCCCUUGGACUCACAGCACCAAGGGACACCGAGCACCGAGGGACUCGGGAUGACGUGGGGAUCGGUGACUGUAUACAGCUAUGGACGCAGACAGAUGGAUUUGUGGCUCAGGGUCAUCACGCAUGGAGACACGCUUACCCCAGCCUGAAGACAUGACCUGCCUUCUCGGGGAUAGUUGUCGGCCAUUCUCUUCCGAGUCACACAGGAAGAAGGUGAUCUCAUCUUUAUUGCCACUCUUCCCCGACCCCGACCUGAAAGCAGGAUUAGCCCUGAUGUCCAUAAGGUGGCAGAGGCCCUUGGCUCUGUCUGGGAGGCAUUGCUGGCUGUCAUGUGUUGUGCUAACCUUGGGAGUGACCUUGAUUGGGGAGGCAGGGAACAAGCAAGAAAUUAGUAUGUUGGAGAGCUGGCCAGUUUCCCGGUUAAGGAGGGCUGGCUCAGGGUCCACCCCCAAGAUGAACUUGGAGCUCUUUGAGAGCAAGACCUAUGUCUGAAGCAUCUCUGUAUUCAUAGUGCCUCAAUUAACACCUGGCACGUAGCAGGUGUUCAUCCAACACUGGGCGCUCCUGUAGUUGCCAGCAACCAGAGUUACCAGCAAGGAGGUAACAGGAAAACAGAUGUUAACGACUGUACUGAAAGGCCCCACCUGUGCUGACCACCACAAAGGCAUCAUCCUUUGCUAUAGAGCAGAGUUCUGGGUCCCAAGCACAAAAUCCAGGAACAUCUCUUGUCUUUUGUUAACUGCAAAAUCUCUAUCUCCCCUACAAAAAAAAAAAAAACACAGGGACAGACUCUGUGUAUAUAUCCAUGGAUUUAUAUAGCCAUGGCGUGCUCUUCUAAAUGUCUUUAAAAUCUAUUAAGUUAGAAAUGUUGGAGGUGGUGAUGAUAAGAGCUAGUCCCUAGAUGUGGCAUUGCCCAUCAGAACUGCGUUUCCUAGAAAGCCAAGGCUGCUUCUGAACAGCUGAACCUUGAACCCAGUAAAGCCUUGAACCCGGUGAAAGGAUGAGUAGAUCGUGGAGCGUUAAGGAGAAAAAGGGAGGGUCCUUGCCAGCCGCCUCUUUGCCUGCUUACCAGAGGCUCGCAAGCUCACAUGGCGGUCUCUGGGCAGGAGGACAGCUGGUCACUGGGUUUCUGUGCUCCUGUCCUGGGAGUUUAGAGCUGGAACGUCACUUACAGUGGAUCUUCAGAUACCCUCUCAGAUCACUCCUCGAAGGGCUUAUCCCAGGAACAAAUCAAAUAGGAAGUGAUAGAAACAGGCAGAGGAGUUUGAAAUGGCUAAACCAGGGAAGGCUGUUGGGGGAGAGGGGAUUGGAGGGACAGGGACUGUAAGCUCAGCGAGGUUAGAGACUCUUUAACUCCUGGGGGGCUGGGUGAAGGCUGUUCCAAAGGCCUCUAGGAAAUCGUUCAAGAAACUAGAAGGAAAGCUGUCAAGUGCUUCAUGGGGUGCAAAGUCACCCCCCCAGCCCCACUCACCACCGUGGGGGGCCCCAGUGGAGCUCCCCAUCAGAACCGCCACGCCACGCCAGCUCUUUCAAUGGGCGCCGUCCAGUGGGCUCUCCCCUGGGGCUUGGCCCCACCUGAGCGUGUGAUAGGCUCUGAUGACAACAGUCACUCACAUGCAUUUAGUGCCUCACACACAGGGUCUCAUUUAAUCCUCCCAACAACGCUUGAAAUGGAAUGUUUCUAUCCUCACGUUAAAAAUGAAGAAACUAAGACCUGGAGAGGUGCAAUAACUUUCCCAAGGUCAUGCAACUAAGAAGUAGAGGAGCGAGGCUUAGAAUCCAGUCUUGCACGAAUGUUCUCAUUUUCGCGUUGUGGGAUUUUUCAUUCCCUUUGCUGGAAUCACCAGUCUGUUUUCUGUCCCUGUUACGUGGUCCUGCUUCUCCCGUCUCUUCUGUGGCCUGCCAAAGCCACAAAAUGGUUUCUAAGUUCCAAGUCCAGUGGGUACCAGAUGCUGCCAGGCCCUAUUAAAGCCAUGUUCAUGAGAGAGCCCGGCUUCCUACUAGCAGUCCCUGGAAUCUCUCCUGUGGGAAUUCGGGGGAUAUUCCGAGUCAGGGCAGACUUAAGAAACUGAUUAUGCUGUUCAUUCUGUAAGUCAAGUAACAGGCCCUCAGAGUGAGUGACCUGAACAGCUGGAGCCAGCUGGGCAGGUUCAGCUGCAGCCACAGGUCAAGGGCCUUGGUUCAUCUGCCAGCCGGAUUCCUCUCUUCUCCACUUGGCAUCCACUGAAAAGGGACUGAAAUGUGCAAAAUGGCCUUUUCCCUCCUGUGUCCACCUGGCGUCUCUCUAGUAGACUGGCCUAAUUUCCUCAUCUUGUUGCCCUGGGCUCCAGGAGCCACCUCCCACACCCUCUGUCCUGCCCCACUCCCAUACCCAUCUCCUUCAGUCCAGCUGGCUGUGUUGUAUCACAUGACUCUGCCUCUGUCCUCCUCACACCACACACACACACACACACACUCACACACUCAGGCAGGUCAAUGAGCCAGGAUCUGUGUACACUGGUCAACAACUUGUGAAGUCCCCUGACUCAGGGAAUGUUUGGAAAGCCAGUCAGGCCAGGCAGAUUCCUCUUUUAGGAAAUUUGAACCUCCAAAUCAGGCUGCAUGGGCAGUGUGUGACAGGAGGUCAUGAGGGCAAGUAGGGCCAGGUGCUGGCCGGAAGUACACUGAGAUGGAAGCUUGGAGAUUGAAGAAAGGCAAAACAAUACUUAUCAUUGGGGGAUUAAUGAGCCUCUUUGGGAAGAAGAUAAAGGAUGUCGAGAUUAGAGGCAGAACUCCAGGAAAGGCAGAGAGAGGAGCCAGUCCUAGAGCCUCCCCAAGGCUCGCCAGGCCUGCCUCACCCAUGUGAGGCAGCAGGCUCCUUACUUAGUCCCUCUGCUGUCUGUUGGCUCAGAAUUGGGCAUGUGACAGUUCUGCCAACAUAACUUAUGGGGAAAUGGCUGGGGGACCUUCUGGGAAGAUUUUGUUUUCUGAUAAAAGGAGAAUGAAGAGGCCCAUCUCUUCCUCCUGCUUUGAACAGGGAUGUUUGAGAUGUGAUAUUUGGAGCUGUGGCAGCCAUUUUGAGACCAGGUGGCAACGAAACUAAGGGAGAAAGCCAACAUAGCAAGGUUGGCCGAGUAGACAGACAAAGCCUAGGUCCUCGAUGAUACCGUUGAGCCACCAUACCUAUCCGGGAACCGCCUACUUCCAGUCUUACUGAUCUUUAAAUUGAACCGUCUUUAUUUUCUAAGCACAUUUCUGCUAUUUUCAGCCUAAAAGGCAUUCUUAGCCAGUCAAUACAACACUCCUCCGAACUUCCCAGUCAUCAACUCCUUAGAGCCCCCACGGCUCUUGGUACAGCUCCAAAUGGAAAAUCAGCCCAAUUUAGACACUGGAAACCUUAAUUGUAUGGUAGGAAAUACAGGUCAAGAUUGGUCAUAGCCCACACAGGCAAGCAGCUUGUACACUUAGUUCCGAUUCCUGGAGCCUACCGGGCACUGAUGAGGAAAGAAAGAUUCAGGACAGUUCCAGAUGCAUGAGCCUGGGUCUUCUAAAUUGGGGCUCCAUGAGGAACUUUAGAACAAAUCAGCGUGGAAUCGGUGGGGGGGGUGGGGGUGGGGUGGGGAGGUGAGUGUUAGUCCCUGGAGGCAGAGCCUGAGCAUGGACCAGAAGGCCAUGGCAGAAGGAGAAGCAAGUUGGAAUUGGCAAAUGGUGAGUUAGGUUGGGUGAAUUCUGGAGGAGGCCGGUGUCACACAGCAGGGUUUUAUGAGCCCCAUAUACUAGGUGAAGGAAAUGUAUGGCAGCUAGAGCUUAACUGAUGGAAAACUAGGCUUUGUAGUUAACUCUCCAGCCAGCCUAAGUGACAUUUCAUAUCCUUUGGGGAACACGGUGCCCUGACUUGAGGCCACUUCCCGCUUUCUCCAUGCCUUGUCCCUUUGCCACCUGGCCCUUCUUUCUUUAGCUUUCCUUCCCAUCUUCUCUGAGCAAAGCCAGGAGACAGAAACGCACAGGACCUGAAUUGCUUCUUCCUCAAUUGGGGAAUGGAUAUAGUGGCAAGCAAGGAUGUCUCCUAGAAGACUUAGAAUCCCAGGCGAGGGAUAAGGAGUUUGGUUGGGAGGUGAAAACGCAGUCGGUGGAUAAGGACUAGAUGAAGCUUUCUUCUGAUCCAAUUUUCAUCACAUAACGUGGUUUUUGUGUUGCUUCAACACAAGAAAAUGUGCCUGACCCUUGCUUCAUGAAAAGAAGAAUUGAACUUAGGAACUCUAGCCCUUCCUCUUUAAAUGUCUAGUUUUAAAUAUAAAGUGAAACCGGUAUCCUCCUCAUGUAGCUGUCAGAUGCAUUCAGAACUGGAGAAAAAUUGCCCUGCCCUUUCCCAACUCAAAAUAGUCUUCGGCAGUAAAGAGAGGUGGCCCAUAGAAGUUCCUCAAGCUAAUGGGGGCCGAACACCAAUGUGUUGCAAUUAGGGUAGAAUUUGCAACCUCCAGAUCCUGCCAGUAAGCCUCGCCCCCUCAACACAGUCCUUUCACACCCUCCACAAUUUAUGGAGUCCUGCCCUUGAAGGUUCAGACUAGGCUGACUCGGUUUGCCUGUUGUAUUACUUCAUUCAUUCAGCAAAGUUGGACUGAAUACCUACCAGGAAUAGAAGUUAAGCUUAUAAAAGCAAGUUUGUAAGCUUAUCUUCCUAAGUCAUUAUAUAUAUAUAUAUAAUAUAUAUAUAUAUAUAUAAUUUAUAUAUAUAUAUAUAUAUUCUAUGAGACAGAGAAAGAAAUGGAAAUGGAAAGAAAUGGAAAUCUUGGUUGCAGUGGAAGAAGCAAUAAAGUUUAAGCCCCUACUUAAUGCAAUUCAUGCUUUAACUGACAAUAAACCCUGAACCCCCUCCCCUCCUCAAAGUUACCCCAUACAUCACUAAAGAUUCUCUGAAAUCCAAUAAGGAAAAGAACUGAAGGCUUUUCCUCAUUCUCCACAAUCAAGGCUUUUCUCCAGAAUGAAUUAGCCUGAUUACUGGCUAAAAGCUCUCCCACAAUCUUUCCAAUAAGAGUGUUUCUUUCCUGUAAAUUCUCCAAAGAUGAUGCUCCACGUUGGUUCCACUCACAGGCCGCUCUCCAGCGUGAAUGAGUUCAGUGUGCCCCCACGCCUCCCCCGGGCGGCCUCCCCCAUUCACACACACGCCUGCUUCCUGUCCUGGUGAAUCAGCCCACAUUGUCCAAGGCUGGAACUCUGAUUGAAGGUUCUUCCUCAUCCCUUCUGCUCCCAGGGCUCCUAUCCACUCUGAAAUCCCAGAUGUCUAAUUAGCUCUGAGCACUGUCUAAAAGCGCUUUCACAGCUCUGACGCGCAUGUGGUCUUUCUCCAGUGUGAAUUCUCUGACGUUGAAUGAGCUUUGCUUUUCCCGAAAGCCCUUACAGUUACGGCAUUUGUAGAGUUUCUGCUGCAUGUGAAUUAGCUGGUAUCAGGAUGCUGCCGGAUGCCUCCUGCAAACGGAUUCUCUCCAAGAUGAACGUUAGGGAGGCGGGGUGCCAGGAGAAAAGUGGCCUCUGUUUCAUAACAAAGAUGUUUUCUCCAAGAAGUGCACUGUAAUAAGGAAUAAAUUCUGAAUUCUGUUCUAAGAUUUGGCCAUACCUAUCUUAUUUGUGGGUUUUCUCACUGCUUAAAAAAUGUGUAUGAAUUGCGAAUGUUCUCAUGUUCAUCCCAUUCAUGGGACGGAUUCUCCAGGAUGUCUCUGUAUUCACGGACACCUCAAAACUCAGACCUGGUCAGUGUCCCCCAGGGACCAUCUCAAUGCAGCUGCCUAUGAAUCUAUGACUGCAGAAAGUUCCCAUUCAGACCAGGUGUUCCUGGUCCCAGGCUCAUAUGAAAUUACAGGAAAUGUAAAUUUCAG
Molecule: long non-coding RNA, 6097 nt
Organism: Bos taurus (domestic cattle)
Lineage: Eukaryota; Metazoa; Chordata; Mammalia; Artiodactyla; Bovidae
Source: Ensembl